AAAUCAUAGAAAGUAAAAAUCCCAGUGCCCAGACUCCAAAGAACCUUAAUCUACCUUCAUGGACAAGGUGUUGAAAGUUAUCAGAAGACACUUACUCUCAUCUGCUUUUUUGAGAAAGUCAGUAGCUAAUAGUACACCUUUCCUACCUCCUCAAAACCGUGAGUUUUGUGACCAGCCAUUUCUCCUUCACCUUUCUGCUCCAUGUAUUAGAAAGAAAGGGCUAUGAUCCUUGGAAUAUCUUCUCAAGUACUCUUUUCUUUUUUUUUUUUAAUAUAUUUUAUUUGAUCAUUUCCAAGCAUUAUUCGUUAAAGACAUAGAUCAUUUUCUUUUCCUCCCCUCCACCCCCCAUAGCCGGACGCAUAAGUCCACUGGGCAUUAGAUGUUUUCUUUAUUUGAACCCAUUGCUUUGUUGAUAGUAUUUGCAUUAGAGUAUUCAUUUAGAGUCUCUCCUCUGUCAUGUCCCCUCAACCUCUGUAUUCAGGCAGUUGCUUUUUCUCGGUGUUUCCACUCCCAUAGUUUAUCCUUUGCUUAUGAAUGGUGUUUUUUUCUCCUGGAUCCCUGCAAGUUGUUCAGGGACAUUACACCGCCACUAAUGGAGAAGUCCAUUACGUUCGAUUAUACCACAGUGUAUCAGUCUCUGUGUACAAUGUUCUCCUGGUUCUGCUCCUCUCGCUCUGCAUCACUUCCUGGAGGUCGUUCCAGUCUCCAUGGAACUUCUCCACUUUAUUAUUCCUUUUAGCACAAUAGUACUCCAUCACCUCAAGUACUCUUUUCAAAGUUUGCUAAUCCUUAAAUUUACUUAACUCCUUUCAUAAGGAGGAUCACCUUAAUUUUGCCCUUUGCAAUUUUCUUGAUGUUUAGGUUUAGGCUAAAAAAAAGUGUGUGUGUGUGUGUGUGUGUGUGUGUGUGUGUGUGUGUUUGGGUGAGGGGAUAUUGCCUCAGAAUUUUUCAUUAAAUGUGCUUUUAUAAUUUUUCUUCCUUUUCUCAACUGUUUUUCCUGCUCUGAAAGGCUUAAAAGGAGAGUUCUGCAUUAAGGAAACAUAAAGAUUAAUGACCAGAAUUAUGCACUUUGGGAAAGAAGGGUGACACAAUGUAAUAAUAUUCCUUCACUAUAUUACAGUGAAAGAUAAUUUUUAAACAGAACUAAGAGAACUUAGAAUUGAGAAGAAUUUAAGAAUCAACUAAUCCAAUCUUCUACUUCAUGUGUACAAAUCAUCUUCUCGGUAGAAUAUAGGCUCUAGAAGGACAAGGACUGUUUUGGUUUUGGUUGUGUAUUUCCAUUGUCCAGGGCCCUGAGCUAAAUAAAUGCUGACUUAAUUGAUUUAUGAUGAAGUAUUUACAAGUCAUACGGUUUUUGGGGAGCCAUCAUUGUGAAUAUAAGUUAUAAUCAUACAGUAGAAGUUCAUAAAAGGGAGUUAGUGGAGAUGCUAGUUAAUAGAAUGCUGGGUAAAAAGAGCCUCUCCUAGUGAAAUUCAGAGGGGACAGUUUCCCAAGAGAGACCAUAUCGGCUCUUGUCAAGCUUGUCAAAUGGGUAUCGUAUAAUAAAUAUGGCAACUAGAAUGUGGAAAGACCCAUCAUUCCCAAGUUAUUUCAAAUGCUGUAUUCUUCCACUGCCUUCUUUGCUUUUGUUUUUUUUUUGGAGAGAGACAAGUUCCUUAAUUUCCUAAAUCUGCAAAAUAAAAGGAAAUAACUUUAAUAUUUAGAUGCUCCUGUGUAGUCCAUGGCUUAUAAAUGCCUACCUAGGGUGAACGUUGUAGAUUGAUAUUCUCUCCUAGACUCUGAAGCAUGUUUCCUUGUUUGUCUAGAGGCCCAGGAGAACCCCUAAUCUCUCCUUAGUUGUCUUGUUUCUACUAAAAUGAUUUUUUUACUCAUUCCCAGGUCAAUUCAUAGUGUCAUGGAUUUACACCCACAAGGGAACUGAAGCUGAGAGGUUAAGUCACUUGCUCUAGGUCACAGAAGUAAUAAAUUCUAGAACCAAAGUUUGAAUCCAGGCCCUCUGACUCUAGAGCCAAUUCUCUUCCCAUUGAUUGAACCCUGUCUCCAAUACAGGUGGGCAGGAUGAUCCAAAUUAUCUAACAUCUAUGGGAAGGUAGAGAAAUCAUGUGCUCCUCCAGCAUUGUGGGGAGUCCAGAAGAGAAAUAUUAUUCAUCUUCCUUUGUAGACUGUGGCAACUAGGUAGCACCAUAGAUAGUGUACAGAACAUGAAAUGAGGAAACCUGAAUUCAAAUCUAGUCUUAGACAUUUAUUAGCUGGACAAGUCAUUUAAUCUCUGCCUCAGUUUCCCCUGACAUUGAAAUAUUAAGUUAAUGUUCACAAGAUACUUAACACAUAUCAUCUCAUUUCAAUUCUCUCAAUAAUCCUAUGAGGUAGGUUUUAUAUGUUUUGUUGUACCCAUCUUGCAGAUGAGAAAAUGAGUUUCAAAGAGUUGUAACUUAGAAAAACGUAUGAUCCAUCACAUAAUUCAAUAUGGAUAUGAUUAGGGGUUUGGCAUUAAAAGAUCACUCUGCUGCAAAUAUGAAGGACAUGGAAAUGGGUUUUGAACAAUGAUGCAUGUAUAACCAAGUGGAACUGCUUGUCAGUUCUGGAGGGGGGAGGGAAGGAGGCAGUAAAUCAUGAAUCAUGGAACCAUGGAAAAAUAUUCUAAAUUUUAAAAAAGGGGAGGGAUGACUUGCCUAUGGUCUCUCAUCCAGCAAUUCAGAAGCGAUAUUUGAACCCAGGUUUCUUUUUCCUGGUCCAGAAUGUUUGCCACUGCUUCAUGCCAUAGAUUCUGCCUCUCAUAAGAAGAACAUAAUUGUAAAAAUGUUUUACUUGAUUGCCCUUGUAAAAUCUUUAUCAGACUGCUGCUACCUCAGGGAGGAGAGAAGAGUGGGAGGGAUUAAAGGAGGAAGGAAAGAAUUUGAAACUCAAAAUUUUUUAAAUGUAUGUUAGAAUUUGUUUUUACAUGUAAUUGGGGGAAAUAAAAUAAUAUUUUAAAAAGGAGAACAUAAUUAAUUAAUAAUAGUUAAUAAUACCUAGCUUUUAUAUGCUAAAGUUUGCAAAAAAAACCUUUUCAUUUUAUCUCUUUUGAUCCUCACAACUACCCUAUGAGGUAGGUGCUAUUAUUAUUCCUAUUUUACAGAUGAAGAAACAGAGACCAAAAGAGGUUAAGUAACUUGUCCAGGGUCACCUAGUUAGUAAGUUUCUGAGGCAGGAUUUUAAUUCAGGCCUCCUUGGCCACAAGUCUAGCACUUUACCUACUAUUCUACCUAGGUGUCUCCAAGUUGUACUAAGAUGUUAAUGACUUGUUUUAUAUUAUUGACGAAAUCAGUCUACAGUAUUAGUAAUAAAUAUUCCAAAAACUGUUUUCAUUUUUAAAAAGAACCAUGUGUAGAGGCAUUAUUUUACCCAAAGAAAUGAAUUUCCAAUGGUAGAGUUUCAGACAGAGUGAACUGAUGGUAUCUUUUCACAAGUGGGAGCUCUGAAAACAUGUGAGUGUGUUUUUUUGGUGGAAAGGGAAGGGGAAAAAAAUUGUUCCUAUAUUUGUCCUAAAGUAAUCUUCUAGACUUUAGACGUAAGUGACUUUUCUAAGAAGCUGUGGAAUAUUCAUUCAGUCAUACAAAAAUGUUAAUAAUGUACUUACUUUGUGUAGAGCAUCCUCUUAGGCCUGAGGGGAUUAAGGCAGUUUAGAUGAGACACCUGCUUGCCCUCUUGGCUUUAAAAAGCUACAAAUUUUGCCUAAAUAGAAUGACAGACCUCUCAAAUCAUAUCAUUAAAAGGCCGAGCAUCUUAGAAAGAGGACUAUCUCUGCUCACAAUUCUUAGAGUUUCCAGCUGUUGUUAUUGACAUAGUAUGAACUGUUCAGUCAGCCUCUGCUUUUUGGAUCAAAGUUUCAACAUCCUGAUUGUUGGACAAGCCCCAUCUGCUUCCUGUGAGGCAUUUGCUUACCUGUUCUAUCCCGGAUGUGACCCAUUUUGUUCUUUUUCUCAGCUUGCUCCUUCCUUCCACUAAGGCCUGUGAUGAAUAGACAUUGUUGGCUCAAAGUCAAUAUCAACCUACUUCUUAUGGUAUUAGCUCAUCCAACCCUCUUGGACUCUCAGGUACCCCACCCAUGUGAGCCUGAUUUAUUUAGCUCAUGCUAAGCAUCUGCUCCUUUAUCCAGGUGUGUCUGUUUUAUGAUCCAAAUCUGAGAAUUUAUCUGUGUAGAGAACUCUCAAUGAGGAAAUUCUCUCUUAAAUGUAGUUCAGCAACAUAUAAUCUUAGAGAAUUUCCUGGGGGCACUGAACAAUUAAUGUGUCAGAGGAAGGACUAUAGCCCAGAUCUUCCUAAAGGAGAGGUACCUCUCCACUAUGUUAUGCUGAGAAAGAAAUGGAUGGGAGGGUCUAGUUUUUAGAGGUCACCAUAAGUAGAGGCGAUGAAUAAUCCACUCCCAAGUGUUCAGAGGCUGCUUGUUUCCAUUGAAAAUAAGUAAUAGGUUCAGUGGAUUGAGAGACAGUCCCAGAGAUGGGAGGUCCUGGGUUCAAAACACUCUUCAGACACUUCUUAGCUGUGUGACCCUGGGCAUAUCACUUGACUAUUGCCUAGCCCUUACCACUCUUCUGCCUUAGAACCAAUACAUAGUAUUGAUUCUAAGAUGUGUGAAGAUUGGAUUUCGCUCUCCCCUGAUUGUAACAAUGAAGAUACUUAACUCUUCCUUUAUUGUGAAAAUUAAAUUGUAAUCCCCUGAUUGUAACGAUGAAGGCAUUUAGCUCUUCCUUUAUUAGGAAGAUUGAAUUGUGAUCCAGUCUAUUUUUAGAUUUUAAUCUACAAAAAGGUGGUAACUCAGGAUUUGAAGUGUUAUCUACCCAUUUUAACUAAAAAAAGGUGUUAACUAACUACAAAAGGUGAACAACCAAAAAAGGUGUUAAGUAACCAAAAAAGGUAUAAUCUAACCAAAGAAGGUGUGAACUAAAGAGUGGGCAGUCCUGGAAAGGAGUGUCUGCUGUGAUUGGUAGAUGUGAAAUUUAGGGGAGGUGACACAAGAGAAAAAGAUUAUUAAAAAGAGGACCAGAGGCCAGAAGAUAUAUUUGAUUUGAGUUAGAUCAACGAACUCUCACUUGGAGGAGAGACUGGAAGAUAGAUACUCGGACUUGACUGUGGAACUGGACUCCUGGAGGAGCUUGUGCAGGAGACCUCAGACUGCUUUCCUUUUAGGUGGUUGCCAUUGGUGAGUGAAAGGUUGACUUAGUAACCUUGCCUUUUUCAGAGCUGUAAACCUCUGAGAAAGGCCCAUCAUCUUGAGACUUUUUCCCCUGAUUUGGGCCUUAGAAUUUCUACCUAACUCAGAGGAAGCCGGAGUUGUCUCUCUCUCAUUCCUUAAUAUCUUCCCUCUAUUGUAAAUAAAACUACCAUAAAUUACAUUUUACUUUAGUAAUUCAUUUUGGGAGAUAGAAAUUAAAUCCCUGGCGACCACCAAAUUAAACCACCUAUUAAUAUAUUCCAUCCAACCACAAUUAAAUUUAACAUAUGGAAGGUAAGGUUUUUUUAAAAAAGUAAAAGAAUGGGUAGUCUAGUGGAGAAGAUGGGAUAGAGUAGGAUUCAUUAUUUGUGGUGGUAGAGGGGAUUAGUCUUGGCAAAGACUAGGUCCACUUCUUCAAGUGAGUUGAGAUGAAAUGGGAAUUCAUGAGAAAUAACCUCAAUUUUUUUCUGUAAAAUAUGAGUUAAGGUUCUCAGAGAAGAAAGGGGACAGGUGUGACAGAGGCUGGCACUAAAGAAAAAGUGCCAGGCUGAAGAUUGUGUGAAACUGAUCACUUCAAUAGAGGAGGGGCCCCAGGAGAUUGGAAUCUUGAGGAGAAGACUCUGGCUGGUAAAAGAGUUGGUCUCUCAGUCUUGAGAAGCCAAAGAGAGAAGGUGGAAAAAGACUUUCUCCUGAGGGUUACCCACUUUUUCCUGUUUGUGACUGGAAAUCUUUCCCUUCAACACUUCCCAAUUGAAGGGACCCAGAGAAGAGAAACCUGAGAAAGACAUUUUGAAUCUCUGUCAGAUUUUAUUUCAGCUCCUGUUGCCCUGAGUCUGAAUUGUGACCAAGGGGCCAAACCCAGGGUGAGUCAACCUGACUUUGUCUCAGGGGGCUCAGACUGCCAAGGCUUGAGUUCCCCCUAAACUUGAGGAGGAGAGAGGGGAAAGGGUUUAGAUAGAGACAGGGACCCCCUUUCCCCACUUUCCUUUCCCAUUCUUCCCUGCCUAUUAUUUCUUUUGUAUUACCUGAUUGAACUGACUUCAAAAGUUAUCUGUUCCCCAAGCUGUGAACAAAUGUGAGUGAACAGAUCAAGGAGAGACCCUUUGGUCUCGAGUAGUGGAGGGGGGAAAAGAGGAACAGGAGUGAAUCUGGGAGAGCAGCCUUAGCUAAGGAAGGAAGGCCGAAGGGGGAAAAUCUUCAAACUCCCUCUCCUCUCUUUGAGCCAAUCCUAAACAUCAGCUAUCUCCCCUGAGCCCUGCUUUGAGAAGGGAGGUUCUCCUCUCUUUCCCCCUCUUUAUACUGAAAGACUUAACCACUCUAAUACAAAUAAACAACCCCUCGAAUACACAGGGAGAUAUCAGAUAUUCAAGGACUAGUGAAAAGUUUCAGAAGAGCCAGCAUGGCAGAAUGGGGAUAGUGAGCCUAAAGGGAGAUAUAGUAAGAUUGCCUAGCAGCAGUGAGAGUCUAGUUGAGAUUAUGAAAUAUAAAUUUGUAGUGAACCUAAGCCCAUGCAUGAAGUAUAAAUAACAUGGAAAUUUAAUUUUGGACCUUUUACUCAAAUAGAAAUGCUCUUCUUUACUAAAGAGGGAAGAACAUUGGGGAAAUGGUUUUCAAAAGGUUUUCUUCUCAACAUUGAAAAUAUGGGCAAAUUGCAGCCUUUAAUCUUUUACAAAAGAAUCUUUAAAGUAGGAACAUAAUGAUCAUACCGUGCUGAAUGAUACCUUAAGUUACUCAUGUAGAAUGCAUAGAAGGUGGUUUUUAUGUGGUCAGUAGAGAUCAUUUACUUCCUCCAAGAGGUUGUUUCUUAUUUACUUGUUUUUGUUUAUUCUUGCUGAAAUGGGAAAAAUCUGUUGAGUACCAGCACAAACAGCUGUCUUGAUAUUUUAUACACAGUAUGUAAUGCAAUAUUGUACAAACAAGAAUAAAUGUCACUGCUAAAACAAAACUGAGGGAAAUUAUAAAAUUUUUAAAAUAGAUUUUAUGAAAUCUUUAAUUUUCCAUUAUCCAAAUUAGAUCCAUCUCACAUAACAAAAAGAAAACUGCAACAUUUAAAUAAAAUUGUAACUGUAUAAGAAAAUUAUUUAUCUAAUGCUAUGUCUUUCCUUUCUGUUUCAGUGUGGAGAGUCUCUAUUUUUUUGCUACAUUUACCUGCUCCCUAUAUUUUUUAUGUUAACACACACACACAAAAACACAAAUAACACUUCCUUUAACAUCUUCAGUCUUUCAAGUAACUGGCUUCCUGUUCUGUUUUACCACCAAAUUUUUAAGAAAUAAUUUAUACUUCAUGCCUUUACUUGAACUCCUUACAAACCCUACCUCAGACUCUUCUUACUCCUCACCACCCUCCACCCCCAGUUUUUAAAAAGCAUUUGACAUUGUGGACUACCCCUUCCAUUAUACUUUCUCCUUCUGUAGUUUGGGUGACACUAUCCUUGGUUUUCUUCAUAGAAUUCUAAAAUCAAGGAUUUAGGACUAGAAAGGGCUUUCAAAGUCACUUAAUCCAGUCCAUUCAUUUUACAGAUGACAAACUGAGGCCUAGUUUGACACAGAUAGUAAAUGGCAAAGCUAAGAUAUGAACCAAAGUUUUCUUUUUUUUUUUUAAUUUUAUUUAAUUAGAUGGUUUAGAAUAUUUUCCCAUGGUUACAAGACUCAUUGAACCAAAGUUUUAUGUCCAAAAUGUAGCAUUCUUUUUCCUUUACCUGCUCCUCUUCCUGGUCCCUUUGAAAACACAGAUAUUCAUACUAGAUGAGGUAUCAUGAUAAGACUUGAGUUCUACUGUCAUAGAACUGUAAGAGUUAGAAGACUUUAACUUCCAUAUACAAUCCAUAUCUGAAAACGAUAUCCAUUUGAAUGUGCCCAACAAAUAUUCAUACGGCAUCUACUUGAAGACCUCCAAAGAGGAAGCUAGGGAUGUCAUGAAGCAGAGGUGAGAAGGAAGAGCAUUCUAGGCAGGAACAAGAGAGUUGAAGGAGCAGUAAGUAGAUUAGUGUAACUAUAUCACAAAAUGCAUAGAGGGGAGUAAAAUAUAAGGAAAUGAUGAGAGUAGGAAAGGCUAGUUUAUGAAGAAUACCAAACAGAAGAUUUUAUAUUUAGUCCUGCAACUAAUCAGGAGUUUAUUUGUUAGGAAGAUAGCAUGGUCACUUUAGAAAAAUUACUUUGCCAACUAAUGGAAGAAUGAAGUUGUGAUAAUUAAAAUAGUUGGUUGUCAUAAACUGUAGUGAUUAAAUAGUGGAAGACUUAAAUUGUAAUAGAUAAAAGAGUAGAUGAGUAAAUUGUGACCGCAGAAAAUAUGUUUUCACUACAGUGUCUUGUUUUUAAAUCAAUAUAUAAGGUGAUCACCAGGGAAAUAUUCCCAAUUAUGAAUAUACCCAAGUCAACUGGGUUUUAUAGAGAAUUUAAUUCAUACAAAUGAGGAAUUAAAGAAAGAAAGAAUAAGAAAGGAAUAGGUAUGAAGGGCCUUAAGCCAAUAUGGCCUAGACCAGAGUCUUAAGAGAGAGAUCAGUCAGUCCUUAAUCACUCACCAUAAGAUCUGUUCAAGCAAGGAUUCAGACACCAGUUCAGCCAGCCAUCAGACUCUCUUCAGAGCCUCCUUUGAGACUCUUCUUCUCAAUAGCCUCCUUAGAGAUUGUUUCUUCCUUCUCAGAUUUCUCAUCUCCUUAUAUAGGGAAUUUUCUCCUAUGUCACCUCCCCUAAGUUCUUCCAUCUACCAAUCACAGUAGACAUUUUUCAAAGGACAGACUAUUCUUAGUCCACACCUAAGAAGGUGUAAAUUUUUGAGUAAUUCACACCAGGAAAGCUCUGAGUAAGUUUCUCAAAUCUUUGUUCCUUGUAAAUUCACAAGUUGCUUGACCUUUAUAGGUACUUAUCUUAAGAACUUUUUGCCUCAUUAUAAGUAUGGGUUUAAGUACUUUUCAUUGUUCAGAAAAGAGUUUACAACUUUAUCUUCCCCUAGGGCAGGCUUAAGUAGGUGAAGUAGAGUUCUUACAUUCCUGAUCUAAGUAGAGUUCACUGCCCAAAUGGGGAAUGGUCUUAAUUCAAUCUUAUGAAGUAGGGUCUGGGAAUUUUUAAGGUUCACAGAGUGGAAGAGACUUGCGGUAGGAAGACUAAAUGGAAGACUAUGCCAACCUGAAAAGACUUAUAUGAAGUGAUACAAAGUGAAGUGAGCAGAACCAGGAAAAUGUUAUACACUGUAACAACAAUCAUGUAUGCUGAUCGAUUGUGAAUAACAUAACUAUUAUCAACACUUCAAGGAUCCAAGACAACUCCAAAAACUGAAGAUGGAAAAAGCUAUGUCCACCACCACAGAAGAAACUGAUGGAGACUGUGUAUAGAUGGAAGCAUACCAUUUCACUUUAUCUCCUUCAUGAGCUUUUUUAAACAAGUAAUAUGCACCUUCUUUCACAACAUGACAAACAGUGAAAUAUAUAUAUACAUAUAAGCACAUGCAUAGUGUAAACCUUAAAAUUCCUUAGACUUAUAAGUGUUGGAAAUUUCACCAUUGGGAUAUUUCAUACUUGGAAAAUUUCUUACUGAUAGUCUAUUGGAAUAGGAACCCCAUUGGCAUGGGAGGUUCCUCCUCUUCCCUUCUUAAGAUUACUUUAGGACAGAAACCUUUUGCUGAACAAUGGAAAGGACUUUGACCUAUGCUUAAGCAUAGAACAGGAAUUUCUUUGAGUCAUGAUUGAUUUUAGAAUUGAUACAAUGGAGAUACUUGGAAUCAAUCUCCACCCUAUUCAGUCCUAACAGGAUUGAGUAAGGGCUGCAGCCUAGAUCAAAAUUUAAUUAUUCCAAUCUCUACCCUACUCAGGUUAACAGGAUUUAGAAAGGGCUGUAGCAAAGGAGCAAAGAUUUAAUUAUUUGAAAAUAUGACCUUCAACAGACAUGUGCAAAGCCUCUGGGCGGUCUUGGGUUAAGCUAGAGCCACCAUUGGCACAGGGAAAUUGAUGGACAGUGAUUGGUAGAUGUGAGAACUGAGGGGAGGCAACUUGGAUGGUUUCCUGAAAAAGAGAGGGGGGCUGAAGACUGGGGGUGGUGGUUGAGAAGUUGGUUGGUGUGGUUGGUGUGUGCUCUGAGAAGCUUGCUCUGAAGGAAGCUGAAAGUGGGGGCCUCUGAGACUGUUUCUCCAUUUUUGGUCACGUGAGUAAUAGGGACUGAUCUCUUUCCUUUGCCCCAGCUAUCUAAGGGCUUGGGCCUUUUGGCCCAGCCUAAACAGAAGGGGUAUUUAAGCCCUAUUUCCUUCUCUCCCCUUUCUCUCUCUCUCUCUCUAAUUACUUCCUCCUAUUGUAAUUAAACUCCAUAAAAGAUUGACUGCUGACUUAAGUUUUCAUUUAGGAAUUACAUAGCUGAUUCCUUGGCGACCUUAAAUUAAUAUAUAUCAGUCUUUUAAAGUGAUUUCCUUGUCACAAUAGGCUCUAUCAUAAUACUCACCAUUUUAGGGAGGGGAGAGAAGAAGGAAGGAGACAGAGAACAUGGAUCACAAAAUGUUUGAAAAGAGUUAUUAAAAAUUAUAUCAACAUGUAAAAAAAGCAAAGAAAAGAAAGGACAACAACAAAAGGAAGGCUCUGUUAAUACUUCAUAUGAUAGGUGAGCAUGGGUAAUGGUGGUAUGAGUGGAGAAAAAAGAAUGUAAAGGAGAUAUUUUUGAAGAUAGAAAUGUCAAGAUUUGGCAACAGAUUGUAUAUGAAGUAUGUAAAUUUCUAAUGUGGUAAAUACCAAUAGUUAUAACCCAUAUAAACAAAAUGUCCUUGGGAGCAUGUCCUUAAUAAUGUGUAAAGGAGUCAUGAGCCCCAAAAGUUUAAGAAAUAUUGUUUUAUGAGGGGCUACACAAUUUGUUCAGCCAUUCUCCAGUUGAUGGGCAACUAACUUGUUUCCAUGGUUAUUUCUUCUGCCACAAAAAGUUCUUUUUAACCUUUUUUUUAUUUUUGCAUACAUUGGACUUUUCCUCUUAAGCUCCAUGGGUUAUGUUUCCAAUAGUGAUACCACUACAUCAAAGCAUAUGUACAUUUUAAUGACUUGUAAGAUAUAAUUCCAAAUUAUUUUCCAGAAUGGUUGGUUGUACUAGUUUAUAGCUUUACCAGUUCUGAUACAUUUCUGUGCCUAUCUCUUCAUAGUUCCUCCAACAUUUUGUCUUUUGUCAUCUUAACCAACCUACUGGUUUUGAGGUAAAACUUCAAAGAUGUUUCAUUUUGUGUUUCUAUUCUUAUUAGUGUUUUGGAGCAUUCUUUUAUACAAUUACCACUGAAAACUGCUUAAAUAAAUCAUAAAUUUCAAGAUAAUUGGGCUAGAAAGUAAAACAAAUAAUCACAAGAAUAAUGUUUCCCAUUUUGUGGUAUCAAUUUCUUUUUUCUUCUUUUCAAUAGAGAUGGAAUGGGAUGGGAGGCCUGAUGGGCUAUAGAAGAACUGAAGGUGACACCCUCACUGGUGGGGGAUAGGCAGUUUCUUUUCUGUCAUCCUAACCUAUGGAAUCUAUCUUGAGUUCUACUUGGAGUUGAAUUUCCUGUGAGAGAGAGUUUUUCAUUCUUUGGAGUUGAGACUGGAUAAGAAUCUGCUGACUGGACCUGAGACCCUGUUCCUGGUGAGGCUGUUCUUAAAUCUCUUCCUUUGGACUGACACAUGAGAACUCUGUGUGAGGAAAUUCUUCCUUCAACAAAUAUAAAUCUGUGAACAUGCGACUUACCAUUAAAGUAUCAGUGGAAAACCCAAUGGCGACAUAGCCAGCAGAAAGACCGCUCAUUUCACAUCUGAAACU
This is a long non-coding RNA of Monodelphis domestica (gray short-tailed opossum), 11941 nucleotides long. RefSeq lists it as uncharacterized. Lineage: Eukaryota; Metazoa; Chordata; Mammalia; Didelphimorphia; Didelphidae. The record is from RefSeq and is a predicted model, not a curated record.